CGAGAACUGUAAUUGUUAGAUUACAAAACCUUGGAUUAUGAAAGGAGUUUUAUUCAAUAAAAGAGAAGGACACGGCAUACGCAGUAACAUAUUGCCCAGAAAUCUUCCAAGAUGAAGCAGCCAUUGGUUAUGACGUUUGCUUUGAUCUUCUGUGUUCUGACAGUUUCUGUACAGGGUGCAUCUUUACAUGGUUUCCUGUUUUCGGAGGAAUCAACGACGGACGGAUCACAAACCUGCUUUGAAGUCCACGAUAUGCACCAUUGCCUGGGAUGUUUCUACAACGCACACCAACACCAGUGCUGCUGUCCCAACAAACGAUGACGUCACCAGCCAGUGACUCUGAACAUUCAAUGCAGCGAUUUUACGAUUGUUUAACUUGUAUAUAUUCUUAUAUAUAUAAACGUGUGGCGGCCUACAUGUAGAUAUGUGUUUAAUCUAUAUUUUGUAUUUAGAUGUUAUAAAAAAAUGUUUUCAUUU
Molecule: long non-coding RNA, 477 nt
Organism: Magallana angulata
Lineage: Eukaryota; Metazoa; Mollusca; Bivalvia; Ostreida; Ostreidae
Exons: 3
Source: RefSeq, a predicted model, not a curated record